RNAcentral lists this ribosomal RNA (253 nucleotides) under uncultured bacterium. Its description in RNAcentral is "partial 16S ribosomal RNA". It matches the Rfam family "Bacterial small subunit ribosomal RNA", at positions 524 to 776 of the family's 1533-position model. The record is from RNAcentral.
UACGUAGGGUGCAAGCGUUGUCCGGAAUUAUUGGGCGUAAAGGGCUCGUAGGCGGUCUGUCACGUCGGGAGUGAAAACUCAGGGCUUAACCCUGAGCCUGCUUCCGAUACGGGCAGACUAGAGGUAUGCAGGGGAGAACGGAAUUCCUGGUGUAGCGGUGAAAUGCGCAUAUAUCAGGUGGAACACCGGUGGCGAAGGCGGUUCUCUGGGCAUUACCUGACGCUGAGGAGCGAAAGUGUGGGGAGCGAACAGG